RNAcentral lists this long non-coding RNA (1586 nucleotides) under Ananas comosus (pineapple). RNAcentral describes it as "long non-coding RNA (ACOM_LNC025552)". Lineage: Eukaryota; Viridiplantae; Streptophyta; Magnoliopsida; Poales; Bromeliaceae. The record is from RNAcentral.
UAUAUAUAUAUAUAUAUAUAUAUAUAUAUAUAUAGAGAGAGAGAGAGAGAGAGAGAGAGAGAGAGAGAGUCCGGCUACUAUACUUUUAUAAGUAUUGGCUCCCUUAUACUCAUAAAUUUUCAGCCCUUAGAUUUUUUCCAUUGAUCAUUUCCAUCCGUUAGAUUAUACUAUUCAACCAACUACCACUCAACCCUAGAAGACCAAUAUCAUUCUAAGUAGAGACCAUCUCAUUCUAACCACACAUCUCAUGAAUCAACUGUUAUAUAUAUACUAGUUUCAAACAAUUAUCUAACCCAAAUAAUUUGAUUAGUUAGUAACGAACUUGGCAUUUCCAAAAUAAAAGUAAUAUACAUGCAACACCUCUGAAAUAUUACAAAUCAUGAACCAAAACAACACCUGGGCAUGUUUGUUUCACAGAAACUUGACUUUGGGUUGAGGUGGAGUUCAAUGAAAACUACUUCUUUUCCGCUGUUUGUUUCGUAGUUAUGGAAGUGGAGUUUCAUUAAUUCUGUUGUUUGUUUAGUAAGAAGUGUAUGAUGUAAAACUAUAAUUUAUGUAUAAAUAAUAAAUAAUUUAAUAAAUAAAAAUAAUAUAAUUAUAUUUAUAUAAUUAAAAUUUAAUCUAAAACAACUAAAUUAUUUUUUUUAUACAUAAAUUAUAAUAAUACAACAAUGAAACUAUGAAGUAAAAAAAAUUAAUACUUGAUUAAUCAAUUUUAAUUUAUCAUAUUUUAGAUAUGUCAACCAAAUAAAAAAAUAAUUAAUAACAUAAUUAGAUAUAAUUAUCUUUAUCUAGUAUAUUAUUUUAUUAUUUUUUCUUUAACUUCUUUCACCGUAAUUGACUUCGGCCCACGAUUGGCCGAAGUAAUUACGUCAUUUCGGGUUAACUCGAGUUUUGGCCGUAACUAUUUUACGAUGAACCAAACAACGGAAGUGGUAGCUUACAGCGUAAACGACUUCCCCCCUCUCCACUUCCCCCUCACUUCCAUCCAAACAAACGCACUCUAAGGGGGCGUUUGGAUUGACGUAUUUGUAGAUUCAACGUAAGUCAAGUGUAGUGGUGUUUGAGUUUCCCUGAAGUGUGAUUAUUUUUUUUUUUAUUUGUUUUGAUGUAACUCGUACCGCCUGAAAGUUAAAUUCAAUCACUUCUGUUGUUUGUUUUGAUGUAACUUGGUGCUGGUAAAAUUAGUUUUUUGAGUUCCGUUGUUUGUUUUGAUGUAAGUAAGUGGAUCUCAAUAUCUCCUAAAUAUAGUAGUAAAUUUGCCACUAUAAAAUUCAAUCUAUUAUAUAAUUAAUUUUUUUUUAUUAUUUAAAGAUAAUCCUAAUUUAUUAUAAAUAAGGUAAUUCUAACCCAUUAUAAAGGAAGUAGAGUUUAGGUUUUACUGUUUAAUAAAUUUUUUAGAGGAGGUUGAGUGUAGUGAAAGUCGAGUUCGGCACUUUAGAGGAGGAAGUCGAGAGUAGGUGAAGUGGAGCUCUAACGUAACUUGAGUUACAUUAUAUUUUUCACUUACAUCAAAACAAAUAACAGAAGUGAUGGAACUUCAGUUCCAUCACUCUACUUACACCAAAACAAACGGGCCCUAAGGU